RNAcentral lists this ribosomal RNA (373 nucleotides) under uncultured organism. RNAcentral describes it as "partial 16S ribosomal RNA". It matches the Rfam family "Bacterial small subunit ribosomal RNA", at positions 527 to 896 of the family's 1533-position model. The record is from RNAcentral.
GUAGGUGGCAAGCGUUGUCCGGAAUUAUUGGGCGUAAAGCGCGCGCAGGCGGGUCCUUUAAGUCUGAUGUGAAAGCCCACGGGCUCAACCGUGGAGGGUCAUUGGAAACUGGGGGACUGGAGUACAGAAGAGGAAAGCGGAAUUCCAAGUGUAGCGGUGAAAUGCGUAGAGAUUUGGAGGAACACCAGUGGCGAAGGCGGCUUUCUGGUCUGUAACUGACGCUGAGGCGCGAAAGCGUGGGGAGCAAACAGGAUUAGAUACCCUGGUAGUCCACGCCGUAAACGAUGAGUGCUAAGUGUUAGUGGGUUUCCGCCCCUUAGUGCUGCAGCUAACGCAUUAAGCACUCCGCCUGGGGAGUACGGCCGCAAGGCUG